CACGUAGGGCGCAAGCGUUGUCCGGAAUUAUUGGGCGUAAAGAGCUCGUAGGCGGACUGUCACGUCCGCUGUGAAAAGCUAGGGCUUAACCCUGGGCUUGCAGUGGAUACGGGCAGACUAGAGGUAGGUAGGGGAGAAUGGAAUUCCUGGUGUAGCGGUGAAAUGCGUAGAUAUCGAGAGGAACACUAGUGGCGAAGGCGAGACUCUGGACAGUUUCUGACACUGAUGCACGAAGGCCAGGGUAGCGAACGGGG
RNAcentral lists this ribosomal RNA (254 nucleotides) under uncultured bacterium. RNAcentral describes it as "partial 16S ribosomal RNA". It matches the Rfam family "Bacterial small subunit ribosomal RNA", at positions 524 to 777 of the family's 1533-position model. The record is from RNAcentral.